CCUUCCCCUUCUUCUUCCAGUAGGACCCCAUCGUAAUUUGCUCUGUUUUUCUUCCCUAUUCCCUUUUGCUCUGCUUGUUUUUAGUUUUUAGUUUUUACCGCCGUCGGCCCCAAGAAUCCUCCAUAAUUGUUUUCUAGAUCCCUCCAAUGGCCACCCUCUCAGCUUAUCCUAACACUAACACUAACACUAACACCAAUUUCCUCUCCCCCACCGAUCAAUCUAAUCUCGACCGGGAAUCUAUCCCUCCCAUGCAAAAUCACCCUUCUGCCGAACCGGACUCCGAUGCUAACCCUAAUUUUCACUCCCCACUUUUGGACCCGCCCGAUUCGGUUCCUCCAGCCGUGGCUCCGUCGUCUCUUCUCCACCUCUCCUUCAACCAGGAUCAUGGCUGCUUUGCCGCCGGCACUGACCAUGGCUUCCGAAUCUACAAUUGCGAUCCAUUCCGCGAGAUCUUUCGCCGAGACUUCGAUCGCGGUGGCGGUAUCGGGGUUGUUGAGAUGCUUUUUCGUUGUAAUAUUUUGGCUCUUGUUGGUGGUGGACCCGAUCCGCAGUACCCGCCUAAUAAGGUUAUGAUCUGGGACGAUCACCAAAGCCGGUGCAUCAGCGAGCUUUCGUUUCGUUCAGAAGUGAGAUCGGUUCGGCUUCGGAGGGACCGAAUCAUAGUCGUUUUGGAACAGAAAAUUUUCGUUUACAAUUUUGUGGAUUUGAAGCUCCUACACCAGAUUGAGACCAUCGCGAAUCCAAAAGGACUCUGCGCGGUGUCUCAGGGAGCAGGAUCAUUGGUUUUGGUUUGCCCUGGAUUGCAAAAGGGGCAGGUUAGGGUGGAGCAUUACGCCUCGAAGAGGACUAAGUUCAUCAUGGCUCAUGAUUCGAGAAUUGCGUGCUUUGCGCUCUCGCAGGAUGGCCAGUUGCUUGCUACCGCUAGCACUAAAGGGACAUUGGUUCGCAUUUAUAAUACCAUUGAUGGUAGCUUGCUGCAAGAGGUAAGGAGGGGUGCAGAUAGAGCUGAAAUUUACAGUUUGGCAUUCUCUUCAAAUGCCCAAUGGUUAGCAGUUUCAAGUGACAAAGGCACUGUCCAUGUUUUCAGCCUUAAAAUUAGUGCCGGAUCUCCUGGCACUACCCAAUCACGAAGUACAUCGGAGCCUGUUGUAUCUUCCCAUUCAUCUCUUUCUUUUAUCAAAGGUGUGUUACCAAAGUACUUCAGUUCAGAAUGGUCAGUGGCUCAGUUCCGCCUGGUUGAAGGUUCUCAGUACCUUGUUGCUUUCGGUCACCAAAAGAAUACAGUGGUAAUUCUGGGCAUUGAUGGAAGGUAAGAAGGAAAAAAGAAAGACCAAUAAUGGUAUCAAAAGAAUUGGUUGGAACCAACCAUCAAUAAUCGCUUCUACCGAUGCCAAUUUGAUCCGGUGAAUGGUGGGGAAAUGACUCAGCUGGAAUAUCACAACUUUCUGAAGCCAGAGGCAGCUUUCUGAAGAUUUACAUUUAUAUUUACAUAUUUACAAAUAUAUGUUUCUCUAUUUUAUUGGGUCAAAUAUUUGGCAUCUUCCACGGUCCACUUCCUCCUUUCCCAUCAUUCACUUAAUGCAUUUCCCAAUCUGUAAAUAUAUAUUUAAGCAUAGUUUUGUAAAGUUCGUAACUGUUCUUAAGAAAAAGUAAAUAAAUUUCAGCUGUUCAUAA
Gossypium raimondii (Peruvian cotton) is the source of this 1674-nucleotide RNA transcript. It is a transcript of the gene named autophagy-related protein 18a, with no coding region annotated. The record is from RefSeq and is a predicted model, not a curated record. Lineage: Eukaryota; Viridiplantae; Streptophyta; Magnoliopsida; Malvales; Malvaceae. The transcript has 4 exons.